CCUUACCUAAGCUUGACAUCCCAAUGACAUCUCCUUAAUCGGAGAGUUCCCUUCGGGGACAUUGGUGACAGGUGGUGCAUGGUUGUCGUCAGCUCGUGUCGUGAGAUGUUGGGUUAAGUCCCGCAACGAGCGCAACCCUUGUCUUUAGUUGCCAUCAUUAAGUUGGGCCCUCGAGAGAGACGUCCAGGGAUAACCUGGAGGAAGGUGGGGAUGACGUCAAAUCAUCAUGCCCCUUAUGCUUAGGGCUACACACGGGCUACAAUGGGUAGUACAGAGGGUUGCCAAGCCGUAAGGCGGAGCUAAUCCCUUAAAGCUACUCUCAGUUCGGAUUGUAGGCUGAAACUCGCCUACAUGAAGCUGGAGUUACUAGUAAUCGCAGAUCAGAAUGCUGCGGUGAAUGCGUUCCCGGGUCUUGUACACACCGCCCGUCACACCACGGGAGUUGGAGAUGCCCGAAGCCGAUUAUCUAACCUUUUGGAAGAAGUCGUCGAAGGUGGAAUUAAUAACUGGGGUGAAGUCGUAACAAGGUAGCCGUAUCGGAAGGUGCGGCUGGAUCACCUCCUUUCUAAGGA
RNAcentral lists this ribosomal RNA (572 nucleotides) under Clostridioides difficile. Its description in RNAcentral is "bacterial SSU rRNA". It matches the Rfam family "Bacterial small subunit ribosomal RNA", at positions 969 to 1533 of the family's 1533-position model. The record is from RNAcentral. Lineage: Bacteria; Bacillati; Bacillota; Clostridia; Peptostreptococcales; Peptostreptococcaceae.